RNAcentral lists this ribosomal RNA (538 nucleotides) under uncultured Bacteroidales bacterium. RNAcentral's name for it is "bacterial SSU rRNA". It matches the Rfam family "Bacterial small subunit ribosomal RNA", at positions 34 to 566 of the family's 1533-position model. The record is from RNAcentral. Lineage: Bacteria; Pseudomonadati; Bacteroidota; Bacteroidia; Bacteroidales.
CGCUAGCGACAGGCUUAACACAUGCAAGUCGAGGGGCAUCAUGAGGUAGCAAUACCUUGAUGGCGACCGGCGCACGGGUGAGUAACGCGUAUGCAACCUGCCUGAUACCGGGGUAUAGCCCAUGGAAACGUGGAUUAACACCCCAUAGUACUUUUAUCCUGCCUGGGAUGUGAGUUAAAUGUUCAAGGUAUCGGAUGGGCAUGCGUCCUAUUAGUUAGUUGGCGGGGUAACAGCCCACCAAGACGAUGAUAGGUAGGGGUUCUGAGAGGAAGGUCCCCCACAUUGGAACUGAGACACGGUCCAAACUCCUACGGGAGGCAGCAGUGAGGAAUAUUGGUCAAUGGACGAGAGUCUGAACCAGCCAAGUCGCGUGAGGGAAGACUGCCCUAUGGGUUGUAAACCUCUUUUAUAAGGGAAGAAUAAGUUCUACGUGUAGAAUGAUGCCUGUACCUUAUGAAUAAGCAUCGGCUAACUCCGUGCCAGCAGCCGCGGUAAUACGGAGGAUGCGAGCGUUAUCCGGAUUUAUUGGGUUUAAAGG